Molecule: ribosomal RNA, 497 nt
Filed under: uncultured bacterium
Lineage: Bacteria
Description: partial 16S ribosomal RNA
Rfam family: Bacterial small subunit ribosomal RNA
Source: RNAcentral
GAUGAACGCUGGCGGCGUGCCUAAUACAUGCAAGUCGAGCGAACGGACGAGAAGCUUGCUUCUCUGAUGUUAGCGGCGGACGGGUGAGUAACACGUGGAUAACCUACCUAUAAGACUGGGAUAACUUCGGGAAACCGUAUCUAAUACCGGAUAAUAUUUUGAACCGCAUGGUUCAAAAGUGAAAGACGGUCUUGCUGUCACUUAUAGAUGGAUCCGCGCUGCAUUAGAUAGUUGGUAAGGUAACGGCUUACCAAGGCAACGAUGCAUAGCCGACCUGAGAGGGUGAUCGGCCACCCUGGAACUGAGACACGGUCACGACUCCUACGGGAGGCAGCAGUAGGGAAUCUUCCGCAAUGGGCGAAAGCAUGACGGAGCAACGCCGCGUGAGUGAUGAAGGUCUUCGGAUCGUAAAACUCUGUUAUUAGGGAAGAACAUAUGUGUAAGUAACUGUGCACAUCUUGACGGUACCUAAUCAGAAAGCCACGGCUAACUACGUG